Molecule: ribosomal RNA, 497 nt
Filed under: uncultured bacterium
Lineage: Bacteria
Description: partial 16S ribosomal RNA
Rfam family: Bacterial small subunit ribosomal RNA
Source: RNAcentral
GAUGAACGCUGGCGGCGUGCCUAAUACAUGCAAGUCGAGCGAACAGAUGAGGAGCUUGCUCCUCUGACGUUAGCGGCGGACGGGUGAGUAACACGUGGAUAACCUACCUAUAAGACUGGGAUAACUACGGGAAACCGGAGCUAAUACCGGAUAAUAUAUUGAACCGCAUGGUUCAAUAGUGAAAGACGGUUUUGCUGUCACUUAUAGAUGGAUCCGCGCCGCAUUAGCUAGUUGGUAAGGUAACGGCUUACCAAGGCAACGAUGCGUAGCCGACCGGAGAGGGUGAUCGGCCACCCUGGAACUGAGACACGGUCCAGACUCCUACGGGAGGCAGCAGUAGGGAAUCUUCCGCAAUGGGCGAAAGCCUGACGGAGCAACGCCGCGUGAGUGAUGAAGGUCUUCGGAUCGUAAAACUCUGUUAUUAGGGAAGAACAAAUGUGUAAGUAACUAUGCACGUCUUGACGGUACCUAAUCAGAAAGCCACGGCUAACUACGUG